This is a non-coding RNA of Prunus avium (sweet cherry), 837 nucleotides long. The record is from RefSeq and is a predicted model, not a curated record. NCBI's taxonomy places the organism in Eukaryota, Viridiplantae, Streptophyta, Magnoliopsida, Rosales, Rosaceae.
UCUCCAAGAUUUUCCUCCCUUGAACAAAAUCCGCUUGAUUCAUACUGAUAAAAUCUGGUGGAAAUUUCUUGAUUCUGUUGGUCAGCAUCUGAGGGAUACUUUUAUAAAUGAGGUUGCAGCAGGAAAUGGGUCUGAAUUGACUCAUCUGAGAAGGAUUCUUCACUUUAGGAACUAAGGUUAUAGAAGUGGCAUUCACCUUCCUGGUAACUUGCCUGGAUCAUAGAAUGAUUGAAUAACAGCCACUACCUCUUUCCCACCAUAUGCCAAAGUUAUCUUGAAGAAAAGAGCAGUGUAACCAUUUGGGAUUGGAGCUUUGCAUUUUUCACUAAAAAAAUAGUAAUUUUUUCUUCUUCAAUGACUUUAUUGCUGGAAGAGACUUUUCACCCUGAGAUAGAUACUGCAACGCAGUUACAAUAUUCUGAAUUCUGAUUAAUUCCUUUAUAUGGAAACCAAAAAAGCCAAUAUCUCAUGUUUACCACUUAUAUUUUUGUAAUACAGGUGCUCUGAUUAGUUGAGCUGAGUAUCUUCUCUUUGAAAACCAAAUACUAAACUUUUGUAUUGAGUUGUGGUAUGAUAGAGUUCAUGUGAUAUAGCAUGAAGAACAUGAAGCUGUAUAUGUAAAUUGUGCCGGAUUUAAUAUUAUGUGGUCAAUUCACUUCAAUUAAAGUACAACUAAUACUUGUGUUUUGUUAUUUUCCUUUUCUCCCAUUCUCUUUGACGCACUAGUGAAAGAGAAAAGAUGGGUGGUAUUCAAGGGGGAGGAGGACCCAACCUCUAUUCCAGUUGAGUGGAUAUGUUGGCUCAACGGGCAGCGGAAAAGGGCUCCAACACCGGAGG